GAAUGUGAGGGCGAUCUGUCACCCCAUUGAUCGCCAGGGUUGAUUCAGCUGAUCUGGCUGGCUAGGCGGGUGUCCCCUUCCUGCCUCACCACUCCAUGUGCGUCCCUCCCGAAGCUACGCGCUUGGUUGAAGAGGACGGUCUUCCCCUAAUAGAGACCUGCUAGAACCUCCAAACAAG
Molecule: small nuclear RNA, 178 nt
Filed under: Erinaceus europaeus (western European hedgehog)
Lineage: Eukaryota; Metazoa; Chordata; Mammalia; Eulipotyphla; Erinaceidae
Description: 7SK RNA
Rfam family: 7SK RNA
About the family: 7SK was discovered as an abundant small nuclear RNA in the mid-70s but a possible function has only recently been suggested. Two independent studies have found that 7SK RNA binds the CDK9/cyclin T complex (known as elongation factor P-TEFb).
Source: Rfam by way of RNAcentral